UAUAUAUAUAAAGUAUACAUAUAUACUAAAU
RNAcentral lists this non-coding RNA (31 nucleotides) under Mus musculus (house mouse). Lineage: Eukaryota; Metazoa; Chordata; Mammalia; Rodentia; Muridae. The record is from RNAcentral.